RNAcentral lists this long non-coding RNA (5022 nucleotides) under Homo sapiens (human). RNAcentral describes it as "long non-coding RNA NONHSAT160015.1". Lineage: Eukaryota; Metazoa; Chordata; Mammalia; Primates; Hominidae. The record is from RNAcentral.
CUCAGCCUCCCCAGUAGCUGGGACUACAGGCGCCUGCCAUCGCGCCUGGCUAAUUUUUUGUAUUUUUAGUAGAGACGGGGUUUCACCGUGUUAGCCAGGAUGGUCUCGAUCUCCUGACCUCGUGAUCCACCCGCCUCGGCCUCCCAAAGUGCUGGGAUUAUAGGCGUGAGACACCAUGCCCGGCCUGGGCUCGUCGUUUUCGUGGUUGGUGCAUGCCGGGGUCGUUUCCACCUGUUGCCUCUGGUCCUUUUUAACAUGAGUCCUCCUCCAGUGAAGGAAAGGGUCAUGCCAGGGCCUGCACCUAGGGCCUCCGUUCUCCAGUGGGUGUCUUUGCAUGAAACGGCCUGGGCCCUGGCACUUGCCCCACCAGCGCUGCCUGCAACCUUGUCCCUGUACCUCGGGCCUCCACCACAUCCCUGGACCUGCACGAAGGAGCCCUGAGCAUGGAAGUCAGGGGAAGGGAGGUCUCGACAUGAGCCCAGCCAUGGCCAGAGUACUGAGCCCAGGGCCAGCAGCCUCGGCUGGCAGUGCAGGGUGAUGGGUCUGUGGGCCGGGCUGCCCAGGGACCUCGGCCCUGGGGUCUGAGGGGCACCAAUGCCUUUUGCAGGCCACCAUUUCCCUUUCCACUUUCCAAAUGUGAUUGGACACAGGUGGAUGCACCUGCCUGCCCAGCAGACAGCCCGGUUCUGACCCGUGUGGAGCUGCGUGGACUGGGCUCACCUGUGCCUUCUUGCAUCAACCAGGUGUGGACCCUGACAAGGUGCCAGCCACUGUCCUCCAGGAGCUACCUCAGGGACACGCAGGGAGGGACUGGACAGACAGAUGGAGCGCAGUCCUUGCUGCCCGGCCAAGCCCUUGUGGGCAGGGCAGACUCCUUCAAGAUCAUCAAAUGAAAGCAGGCAAAAACCACGUCCUUUUGUGACCUAAGCUUGGAAGCAAUGUUGUCACUUCUGCCUCAUCCUAUUGGUUAGAAGUGAGCCAGGAGGUCCUGUCCACAUCCAAGGUGGGAGUCCCCGCAGGACGGGGCCUGGGAGGUGGGCCCAUGGGCUCCAGAGGGGCUGGACCACAGCAAGAAGAACGAGGCCAACCUCCAUGGGUAGCGCAGACCGGCUCAGGCCCUGCCCUUCCCGCCGGGGUCCCCUGUGACAGGACGCAAGGGCACAGCUGCGGAGCAGGGUGGGCUGUUAGAGCUGGGCAGAGGCCACAGUGGCCAGAGGGCUGGUGAGAGUGGCUCUCCUGCUGCCCUAGCCACUGGCUGAAGAUCUGCCUGGGGAGGAGUGGGUUUGGGCGGCCGGGCCUAGGACCCCUUCAUAGCUACCACUAAUACUCAUUCUCUGCUCCUGAGAAACCUCCUCCAGGGGCCUCUGGGGUCUUGGAGAUGAGACAGAGGGACCUCAGGCAGGACAGACAAGAGACCCUGGUCUCGGGUGUCCACAGAGCGGGAGCCAGGCAGGCUGGGCGGAAGUCCUAGGCUUGGACCCUGUUACGGGACUUUCCCUGUCAGAAUGGGCUCAGGAGGGAGUGAGUGCGUGGUCCUCAGGUGUGCAAGUGCCAAGGCUGGAGCCCACCCCCUGGGAAGCAGGGCCAGGGUGGCUGGGGCGGACUUGAUCCCUGGAGAGGAGCGUGGGCAGCCAGGGCAGGGAGGAGGGCAGGCAGGAGGGAGGUCCAGGCCUGUGGGCCGACAGGGGGUGAGGAGGCAGUCUGGGGACCUGAGAGAAGGCCGAGUGGCUGUGGGGUGGGUGACCUGGGGCCCUGACUCUGCCUUACCCUUGGCCAUGGGGCCACAUUCAUGCUCGGCCCCCGCCCAGCCUGGGCUGGGAAGGCAUCAGCCUGGCCAUGAGGCAAGGGGCCGGCCAUGCCUGGGGCCAGAGGGGGUCCCCCAGCCCUUCGCCUUCUCUCCAUCUCCUGAGUAGGGCCCCUGCCCUGCUCUGACAGGGUGGUCACCUUGCCCCGCUCCGUGCCCAGUCCUGAGCUGGCAGUGUCUCCAGCCUUUGCAGCGUGGCCCUGUCUGCCUCUGUGUGUGUCUGGGCUCCUCUCAUUUGGCCGCCCUGCCCGUCUACACUGGUGCCCCCCCACCUGCACUGUCCACCGGGCCAGGCUCUGUCUCUGCCACCUGUUGGGUGCUUGCCAGACUCCGCCAUCCUCUCCGCUCCCAGCUUGCGGCUUCUGCCUCCACUGGCCUGGGCCUGCCCUGCCGCCGCCUCCUUGUGCCCUGGCUGUCUGCUGCCCCCUCUGCUGCCCAUUGGCCAGCCGCUGAGCUCCCUACCAGGAAGAAAAAGGGCCAGGCCAUGCCGGACCAGGACUGGGCACAGCCUCCAGCACUCCAGGUGGACAGGCUGAGAAGCGCGGCGAGCGAGGCAGCCUGGGACGGGUGAUUUCUGGAACAUGGGGCCAGCCAGCCUUGGCGUGAGGUGUGGACAGCUGCCAGCUUCUUCUCAGGGCUGCUCACAGGCAGCGGGGGAGUGACCCCGUUUUCUGCUUGGCACCUGGCUUGCCAUCCCGCUCUACCCCAGGGCACUCAGACCUCAAACUCCUCAGCUGCCUGGAACACCAGGGAAGCCCAGGCUAUGUGAGCCUGUGCCCAGCAGGCCAGGGGGCACCAGGACAUCCCCCUCUUCUCUGAUAUUCCAAACCUUCCUGCCUUUGAGGAAUGCCUCCCGGUCCUUCUGGUUUUCUAGGCCAUGGGCUCACCCUGGUCUGCCAGCUCUGGAGCUCUGAGAAUAUUCCUGCAAAAUGCACAUCCCAGGCCUGGCCGCAGACUGUGAGUCACAGGUAGGGCCUGGGAUCAGCAUUUUCAUGGAUUCUGCAGGCACUGCUGAGAGCAGCUGCCCGGGGUCAAGCCAGGGCGUGGGCUGUCCUCAUCAGGCUCCCCUUCUCAGAGGCCGCCCUUCUGGCCUGGCCUGCACCUUUCCCCACUCACUGCCCACCAGCUGCAGACACACUCACUCCUGCCUCAGGGCCUCUGCACGGUGCAGACAUUCCUCCCACAGCUUCCCAGGGAGGCUGAAGAGCAAGGAACCUGCCUCUCCUCACGGAGCCCUCUGCUCCCGCCACACGGCUGGAUUUUUCUUGGAUGCCAGCGUUUGACAUCUCUAUGUGAGAUCUGCUUCUUCCCUGAUCGUGACAUUCCCUCCACCAGCAGGCAGCCGCAUGAGGACCAGCGCCUGCUCACCGCUGUGUCCCUCCUACGUGCGGGGCAGGCACCCAGCAGCAGGUGUUCGGUGCCCACUGGGAGCGUGCCUGGGCCCCUGCUCCUGCUCCUCAGAGGGAACAAACAACUGACCUGCUGAUGGAGGCUGUGAACCCACACGGGUUGUCUGCAGACGUAACGGGGCAUCUCCUAUGACGCUUCUGGAGAGGGCAAGGCUCCACGGCUGAGGGCUUUCUUUGGGUGACAACCAUGUGAAAUGCCAUGACCUUGUGCCACCCCGUGGCAGAUGACUCUCUCAGAAGGUGGUGCGUACCCUUUCCCCAUUAUGGUGUGGACACGCAGAUGUGGGGCCUCUCCCACCUCUUACAACUGGGGCAGGCUGACAACCACAGUAGAAGGGACACCCUGGAACUCCCAGACCACAUCAUAAGAGGCCACGCAGCUUCCUCCUGGAGCUCUCGGGCAGCUGCCCUUGGAGCCUGACUGCCAUGCUGUGAGGAAGCCCAGGUGCCACCGAGGCGGCACAUGCAGAUGUGCAGCCAAUGGCCCUGGCAGAACCUGACAAAGUCAGCACCAGCCACCAGACCUGCCAGCAAGGAUGCUCUGAGCCGACGUCCACUCCAGCUGUCGUCUGACUGCCCACGAGACACCCUGAGUGAGCACUGCCCAGCUAAGACCCGUCAACUCCAGAACUGUGAGAGGCGAUGGUUCCACGACUUCCUGGCUGUAGUCACUGCUGUUGGGCAGCUGUGGGUGACCCUGAAGGGACACUCUGAUAAGGGACAUCUGCCUGCAUGUGUGACCUGAGUCCCAGCCUCAGCUUUCUCAUGUGAAAAAUCAGGACCACGGUAGACCCUACCUUAUAAGGCAGCUGCAAGAGUGAAAUACAAUGGAAAAUGUACACAAGAUAGGGUGGCUGUUCGACGCCCUCUUGGUUCUUCAAAUCUAAGGCCCAUGUCAAGUUUUACCAUCAUUUUGCCAUCAUGAUGAGAAAAGAAAUGAGACCAGCCUGACCAACAUGGAGAAACCCCAUCUCUACUAAAAAUACAAAAUUAGCUGGGCAUGGUGGCACUCGCCUGUAAUCCCAGCUACUGGGGAGGCUGAGGCAGGAGAAUCACUCGAACUCAGGAGGUGGAGGUUGCAGUGAGCCGAGAUCGCACCAUUGCACUCUGGCCUGGGCAACAAGAAUGAAACUCUGUCUCACAAAAAAAAAAAAAAAAAAAAAAAAAGAAAUGGAACUUAAACAAGGAAAUAGUGUUUUCCUUGUUUUGUUUCUUGCUUAUUGAAAGCACCUUGCCUGAUGGGUUGAGGGAGGGAUUUUCAUAAAUCACUGUUGUAUACACACGUAGAGAGAAAAUACCAGCAAGUAAGGGUUACUGUCCCCACAUUUGAGUCCACUUCCUCCGGGUCAAUUUUGUCUAGAGUCAUUGCACCGAGGCUGUCCCUCAUACACUCUUCCUUUGGGCCAUGUACAGGGCUGGGGGACACCCGUUCCCCAAGAGGGGCCUCCACGAUUGACCCGGGAACUUUUGCUUGCUCUGCCGGUAUCUAGAUCUUACCAGCAGGUGCCAGCAAAUGAUCUCUGGACGGCGCCCCAGACUCACUGUCCUUCCCUAGAUGGGCCCUUGAGGCUUGGGAUGGAAGUGUAGAGGGGUCACUGCCAGGUGAUACAGUCAGGUUCAUCCGUGUUGAGCUGGGGCCACCAUGUCAUGAACCUGGCUGUUGGCAGCAUUCACAUGAAACCUGCUUUCAGAGACAAUAAGUGUAAACAAAUGUCUUAGGAUCAGUGCAUUGUGUCCCGGAUAAGCCCCUUCUCCCAAUGUCCCUCCACAACACUCACACGAGGAAAGGAGGCUGGGAGGUGGGGAGGC